Molecule: microRNA precursor, 82 nt
Filed under: Glycine max (soybean)
Lineage: Eukaryota; Viridiplantae; Streptophyta; Magnoliopsida; Fabales; Fabaceae
Description: miR10433 stem-loop (gma-MIR10433)
Source: miRBase by way of RNAcentral
UCAAGUUGAUCUGUAACAAUCAACUUGAUCUGCAUGUAGAUUUUAAAGCUGCGGAUCAAGUUGAUUGUUACGGAUCAACUUG